RNAcentral lists this transfer RNA (74 nucleotides) under Streptomyces sp. PVA_94-07. The record is from RNAcentral. Lineage: Bacteria; Bacillati; Actinomycetota; Actinomycetes; Kitasatosporales; Streptomycetaceae.
GAACGGCCGCGACCAGCUGCCGGUCGCGCUGAUGACCGCCUUCGCUCGCCAGAUGCCGGUGUCCGCCUCGACCA